This 274-nucleotide ribosomal RNA is filed under the name uncultured bacterium. RNAcentral describes it as "partial 16S ribosomal RNA". It matches the Rfam family "Bacterial small subunit ribosomal RNA", at positions 523 to 796 of the family's 1533-position model. The record is from RNAcentral.
AUACGGAGGGGGCUAGCGUUGUUCGGAAUUACUGGGCGUAAAGCGCGCGUAGGCGGGCUGGUCAGUUGGUGGUGAAAUCCCAGGGCUCAACCCUGGAACUGCCUUCAAUACUGCCAGUCUUGAGUCCGGGAGAGGUGAGUGGAAUUCCUAGUGUAGAGGUGAAAUUCGUAGAUAUUAGGAGGAACACCAGUGGCGAAGGCGGCUCACUGGCCCGGUACUGACGCUGAGGUGCGAAAGCGAGGGGAGCAAACAGGAUUAGAUACCCUUGUAGUCC